GUCCCACAUUUGUCUGGUCUUCAGGUGUUCAUCCAUCAGCGUCUCUCACAGUGAAUCCUGACAGAGUCCAACACUUCACCUCUGAAUCUCUCUCACUGACAUGUGAAGGAAACUCUUCCCAGUGGAGGCUGAUCCAGUUUCUGACUGACGACUCGCUGUUGAGCUUUCUUCCUCCAGCUGCAAUCAAUGGAUCAACAUAUAUUAAGAAUGAGGCUCCAAGAAAAGCUGUGUACUGGUGUGAGUCUGGAACAGAGUUCAGCAAUGCAGUCAAUAUCUCCACACACUCUGAUGGCGUUAUCCUGGUGAGCCCUGUGUAUCCUGUACCUGUGGGAGAGUCUGUAACUCUCCUCUGUGUCAUGAAGACUGGAAAUAUUUCCUCUGAUGUGUUUUUCUACAAAAAUAACAAACUCAUUGGAAAUGCGACACGAGGAGAGAUGAAGAUCUCUGCAGUGUCAGAAUCAGAUGAAGGUUUCUACAAGUGUCAGUACAAUGGAAGAGAAUCAGCACAAAGCUGGAUGGCUGUUCAGUUAGUAUCCAGGGGAAAAAGCUUUCCAAUGUGGUCUAUUGGGUUGAUUUGGGGACUUUUGCUUCUUAUUUUUCUGCUGCUGUUGUUGUUAUGGCACUCCAAAAAGACAAAAGAUUCAUGCUUCAACAGGUCUCAAAGUUCACAGCAGAGCCAAACGACAGACCACAGCAGCAACCAGCUGGAAGAUCAGUGCAACACAUACGCUUCUC
Molecule: long non-coding RNA, 735 nt
Organism: Salarias fasciatus (jewelled blenny)
Lineage: Eukaryota; Metazoa; Chordata; Actinopteri; Blenniiformes; Blenniidae
Exons: 6
Source: RefSeq, a predicted model, not a curated record